GGAACAUGGCGUCGGGCGGGGGAAUACCGCCUGACAAGGUUCGUGAAAAAUCGUUUAAAUGUCAUCCCUCAGCAAGAGUUGGAGUAGUAAUUUGUUUAAUAUGUGAAAAUGUGUACCAUAGAAGUGACUUUAAUAAAUUAAACAACAUAAGAUAUGUCAGUAAUACAUUGGUAAUUUGUCCUGAUCACGCGCACAUAAAUCUAACCUCAAAAUAUAAUGAAUCGGCAUUAAAUGAGGAUGCCAGAAUCAUAGUAGCACAUGUGAAAAGUCAAUUGAAGGAAGAACUAAGGGAAGAAAUUUUGAAAGAACUGGAAAACAAGGACGAGGAGGACGAACAAAAUAGUCAGGAUGAUAGUUUGGAAGUGAGUAAUUUGAGAAAAGAAAAUAGUCUACUAAAACAAAUAAAUACAGAGAUGAGCGAUAAGAAUGAAAUAUUGAAGGAAUUUAUUAAGCAACUACAAAAAGAAAACAACAUUGUUAAGAAACCAUAUGCUCAAGUUUUAUCAGGAGAAAAGCCAAAAAGCGAAAGAGUACCGAACAUCAUAAUAAGGAAGAAAAACAAUGAGGACAGAACAGAUAUAAGAACAAGUGUGAAACAUUAUUUAAAUAAAGAGAAGUCAAUUCAAACCAAAAAGGUAUAUUGCAAAAAUGACAAUGAGAUGAUAAUCAGUUGUAUGAACAACACAAGUGCUGCUGAAACCCUUAAAUACAUGAGUAAGAAAUUAUCUAAUACAUGUACGAUUGAAAAAGAAGUAGUAAAAAAACCAAGAUUGAAAAUAGUGGGUGUGGAUAAUUAUGAACAAAUGGACUUAAAAGAAUUAGAAAAUGACAUAAAUACAAGAAACUUUAAAGGCUGUGAAACAAAAUGUGUAGCUGUGCAUAAAUUUGUAAACAAAAGAAACAAUCAAGAAAGCAUAAUAAUUGAAGUAACCUCAGAACUAUACAAGACUAUAAAAGAGAACAAUAACAGAAUCUUUGUAGGAUACCAGAACUGCAAAGUAUAUGACGACAUUAAUCUACAACCCUGUAUAAACUGUGGGAGAUUCGGACACAGCAGUAGGAAGUGCAUAAAUGACAAGGUAUGUUUAAGAUGUGCAGGCCCUCAUAAUACAAUCAACUGUACAAAGCAGUCUGAUUUAUGCUGUAUUAACUGUUGUUUUAUUAAUAACAUCUACAAGACAAAGUAUAAUACAGCACACGUGGCAAAUGAUAGCCACCAAUGUCAAGUGCUUAUGAAAAAAAUCAAAAGGCAUAUUGAAUCAACGGAUUACCCUGUGGACCCAUUUAUCCAGAGAUAUAUCGGUAAAAUAGAUAUCCCUGUACCGACUGAUACUAGACCAAGAAGAACAAAUUCCAUGGACACGCUGCUAUCAACUUCACCUCGUUCCAGCCUUCUCAAUCUGCAGAGUCAGCGAGGAGGCAAUCAAGGAAUCAAGUAACAUGGAGAAUAUCAUUGACAUAGUAGAAGAUAUACAGAGCGAGACGAUACAACGAGAAACAACAAUAUUAGAUCUAAACUCUCUAAAUAAACACUUGAAAAUGAAUAAAGAAAAUAUACUGUAUGUAAAUAUAAGAAGCUUAAAUGCAAAUUUUAACAAACUUCAAGUAUUUAUUGAGAGACUAAAGAUAAAACCAUGCAUAAUCGUAUGCGCUGAAUCAUGGAACUUAGAUUUUAAAGACUAUUUUAUGAUAGAAGGAUAUAAAAUGUAUUAUAACAGUAGCAAAAUAAACAGAUCUGACGGUGUGGUUGUAUAUAUUGAAAACGAUAUAGAGGAAGACACGGAGAUUAUUGAUAUAGGCAAACUUAAAAUACUCAAUUCUUGUAUAAAAAUAAACAAUGAGAACACAGUAGACAUAUCCGCAAUAUAUCGAUCUCAUGACAUACCAAAAUCGGAAUUUAUUAUGAACAUAAAAGAACUAAUAAAAAACAAAAAGAAGACUAAGAAUCAUUUAAUAAUAGGAGACUUUAAUAUUGACACACUGACACAAGAGAAUUAUAGUAAUGAGUUUUUAUGUAACUUACUAGACUCCGGGUACCACCCUGGAUUUCAGGGUAUAACUAGACCGUCAGAUUCUAAAAAUAUUGGAACAUGCAUAGACAAUGUAUUUAUAAAAACUAAUACAAUUUUAACCAGGACUUUCAAAUUAAUUUAUGCGCUAACUGAUCAUUAUCCACUAUUUGUAUCGAUUAACAAGCAAAGAGCAAACAAGGUAGAAGAGAACAAAACAACAAUAAAUUACAAAAAACUAAGGAAAAUAGCGAAGGAUGUAAAUUGGGAAUUGAUAUUGACUAUGCAUGAUCCAACUGAAGCUACCAAUACACUUAUUGAACACAUAAAGAUUAGCAUAGAUUUAGCUACGGAAAACAAAAAAAUACGUAACAUACGAAACAACACAAAACCUAGGAAAAUAUGGAUUACUAAGGCCAUAAUAGAAUCGUGCAAUAAAAAAGAGUUAUUGUAUAAGACUUGGCAAUUGGAACCAGGUAAUAAUAGGCUGAAGAAAGAGUAUAAGGACUAUACAAAAAUUCUAAAUAAAAUUAUCAAUGAGGCAAAAUUUAAAUAUGAUAGUGAACAAGUAGGAAAAAAUCUAAGAAAUCCUAGACGUUUAUGGGAAAUAGUGAAAACUAAACUAGGGAAAACAAAUAAGAAAGACGACACUAUAAAACAAAUUUUAAAUAAAGAUAUGCAGAAGAUCGAUGAACCCAUAGGCAUAGCCAAUGAGUUCAACUCUUAUUUCUGCAAUAUUGGUAAAAAACUAAGUGAUAAAAUUAAACAACCAACUAGUGCUAAGGCACAUCAACCAAUAAAGUAUCCAAAAUCUAUUUUCUUGACCCCAACUAAUAACAGUGAGAUAAGUAGAAUCAUAAAGAAUAUGGAAUUGAAAAGCGGUGGAGUAGAUAAGAUAAAUGUUAAAACAAUAAAGCUGCUAUCGGAUUAUAUAAUAAAUCCAUUAGUGCACAUUAUUAACUUAUGUAUUGAAAAGGGUAUUUGGCCAGAAGCGUUAAAAAGUGCUGAGGUGAUACCAAUAUAUAAAGCGAAAAGUAAGAAACAAGUAUCAAACUACAGACCUAUCUCUUUAAUCUCAAACUUAGCUAAGAUAUUGGAAAGAGUUAUAUAUUGCAGAAUUACUGAGUUUAUAAACAAAAGUAAGAUCAUAGCGGAAAAUCAGUAUGGUUUUGUAAAAAAUAAAGGCACAAAGGAAGCAUUAUAUCAUAUAACAAACAUUAUUUAUAAUAAAUUAGAUAAAAGUAAGCCAAUAGCUAUAAGUUUUUUGGAUCUCUCAAAAGCAUUUGAUACUGUAAAUCACAAAAUUUUGUUGGAUAAACCUUAUAAUUAUGGUAUUAGGGGAAUAGCAUAUAAAUUAAUUAAGAGUUACUUAACUAAUAGGUGCCAAAGAGUUAAACUGAAAGAUGUCGUAAGCAGUUAUGAGGCUGUUGAUACAGGGGUGCCACAAGGAACUAUAUUAGGACCACUAUUUUUUAUUUUAUACGUCAAUGAUCUCUUGAUAAAUAUGACAAAAGAAACAAUCAUAUCCUAUGCUGAUGACACAGCUGUAAUAUCAACUGAUGAUAACUGGAGUAAUGUUGAAAUCAAGAUGAACGACUACUUAAGUAACAUAUCGGUCUGGCUUGCACAAAAUAAAUUAUCCUUAAACAUUGACAAAACGGUAUAUAUGACUUUUGGUAAUUAUAUUGAUAGUGUCCCAAGAAACUUUACAUGUCAAAUAGAGGGAAAGGUCUUGAAAAGGGUGGAACACUGUAAAUACUUGGGUAUAAUCUUCGAUUUCAACAUGAAAUGGAAACAACAUAUAGAAUAUUUAAUAAAUAAAACUAAAUAUUUAGUGUUUGUAUUUUAUAAGCUAAGAACAUUCAUGGAAACACAUACAUUAUUAAUGAUAUACUAUGCAUUCUUUCACAGUGUUAUAAAUUAUGGAAUAAUAGCAUGGGGGGGAGCGUAUAAUAACAACUUGAACAUAUUACAAAAUUUACAAAGUAGAUUGCUAAAAAUAAUAAGUAACAACAAAUUCAUGACUCAUAACAAACCUCUAAACUUAAGACAAUUGUUUGCGUUUGAAUCCAUAGUGUUCCACUAUAAUGAUAUGAAAAACAGGUUCUUGACAUCGAAUAGCGUAACAAGGAAAAAGUUGAUACAGAUACCACAAAGAACUAAAACUGUAAGCCAAAAAAACAGCUAUAUAAAGGCUGUUGGUGUAUUCAAUGAUCUUCCAAACGAGCUAAAGACUUUAAACAAAUAUGAAACAGCGAAAAGUAAAAUAAAGGAAUGGAUUAGGAUGAAUGAAUGAUAUGCUAAAAUACUAGGGAUGAAUAUUUAGGUUCUAUUUAAAAAUUAAAUUGUAAAAGGAUCUCUUGUAAUGGGAAUAGUGUUAUAAUUAAGGAAUUGUAAUUAGUAUUAAGUUUUAGUAGAUAAGAGUGGCCAGUCCUGCCAACAGGUACCUGCGAGUACCUCUGCGGGAUUUACUGGUGCAUUGCGGAGUGUAAGUCACUACUGUAAUUCACUAGUGUAAAUUUUCUGGCUAAAUAAAUAAAAAUAAAAAAAAAAAAAAUAUUUUACGCACGAUAAUUUAUACCGCAUUAAGCGCUUAUCUAAGUAAGUCUAAAGUUAGUGUAGUUUAUAAUUUGUUUAUUUAUAAAUUAGUUUAGUCGUGCAUAAGUUUAUACCGCAUUUCGUGAUAAUUGUUAAGUAGUUAAUAAACAUAAAAAGUGUAAUUUGUUUAUAAAAAAAAAUGUCUCCAGUUCAGCAAGAUAGUGUUAACAGCGCUCUUGAACGGGUGGCAUCGGACAACGAGAGGCCGUCUAUCAAGAUGGUACUCAGGCGUUCAAUUAAGUCAGAUGAGUGGAAAUUAUAAAUAAUAACGAAAUUGCGUCAAAAAGACGAAGGCGAUCGUCUGAUCAAGAAGUAGGUCUAUUAGUAAAACGGCCCUGUAUAAAUGUUCAAGCAUCUCGAGCCGUUAGUUGUGUUGUGGAUCUUACAAACAGUGAUGAUGACGAUGAUAUUGUCUUUGUAUGCUCGAGUACAAAGCGCAAUAAUUGUUAUAAAGAUACUGCAAAUAUAAGUACAUAUUUUGAUAGCAAAUUAUUUAAUGUUGACUUGAACGUGUUCCAGCCAAUAAUUUCGAAACAAAACUCAUGGUUGAACGACGAUUCGUUGGAUGCUUUUCUUGGCGUAGUUCAAGAAAAUCAUCCCGAAUUCGAGGUGCAGAGUGUGAUGUAUUUAUACUAUCCACGAUGCGUUCAACCUGUAAAAAGUAAAACCAGUGUUGUGAUUAUGGGAGGUACGUGCACGAGCCAUUGGCGCUUUGCGUACUACGAUGGACAUACAGUGCGCAUAUAUGAAACGAUUCCUAAUUACGCGGGUGGAAAACCCGUCGAACAGGAAAAGCGUUAUAUUUUGCAGCGCUUUUCUGGCAUUUUGGAAAGCGAAAACGUGUGCUGUGGCGGGUGUAGCUGUUCUCUCAGGUACGAUGUAAACAUAUUAAUUUUCGUUACGGUAGAGAUCGUCGAUAAAAACCUUCGACGACUUACCAUUUUUAAUAUGUUGAUUUUAUGUGGAAAAAUGUAGGGUGAACAUCAUGAAUACAAAAGAUUUUUCUGUCUUUUUGUGGGGGCUGUCGAGUUUUGUCUUAUGACGGUACGUAAAUGAUGCCUUCAAUUCCUUCGCGAGAAGUUGCAAGAUCUCAACGAGCAGCGUCGCUAUCAAAACGGUUCCACAGUUGGACAAAACCAUCCAAAUUCAGAUGAGUGAGAAAGGGAAUUGUGUCUAAAUAAUGUCAUUUUUCAGGAUUUUUUGUAGUCAGAUAACGUCGAUGGAGAGAUGUACGCGGUUCCACAGAGCGACGGCACUGUACAACUGCGUAUUGGAGAAAAAGUUGAGGGGCCGCAACGAGAGGACGAAAAAUCCCAGUUGCCUUCCGUUGAUAAUGAAACGAGUCCUCAUCCAACCUAUAACGCAACGUUUGAGGGGUUCGACGUGAUAAACUGCAAGAUAGAAUUAUAAUUAACGGCAGCGGAGACUACCAACGACGCCAAUAUGUCAUAUGCACCGGCCAACAAACGGAGAUUGGCUCACCGAAUUAAGGAGAUAACCUUAGCCUCUCACCGUCGUCCUUUAGCUGCGAGGAAUCUGGACCCUGAGUUAGAAAAAUCCACCUCGAGGUCAACUCCAAAAUCGAGAUCUACGCCGCUGGAGAAGCUGUAGACAUGCUCAUAGCGGAUACAUCUGCCAACGAGACUCUGCUGCCUAGGGCCUACUUCCCUGAAAAGCGGAGAACUAAAGGGUGCGCAAAGAAUAAGAAGACGGUCCACAGGAACGUUCAACGUUUGGAAAGCAGCUCGGAAAAUUUGGCUCCGGCACAUGUAGGUCGCAAAAGAAAAAGGUCGCCUAAAGACGCUCCAGAAGCAAUGGAACCCAAGGCCAAAACUUCAAAGCAACUGUUUCUUCAAUGUCAGCAUGGCAAUAGCCUUUAUAAGCUUGGUGUCGACAGAUAUAACCAAACACUUUCCGGGUAAGAUUUAUCAAGACACAUCAAAAUUUCUCUCAAUCUUUCUUCCCAUAUGAGAACUUACCUUUAUAAAUUAUAUAGACUCCAGAGCGCUACUUCACUUGUGGGUAUGAGACGCCACCUAGUGGUGUAAUUUUAUAAUUUUUCUGUAAGAACAUUUUGUAAACGUUCAUUAGUAUAAUGAAUCAAAAUUUUUUAAUCUUAAAAAAAUUAAAGAAAAAUUUAAUUUUAAAAACUGAAAAUCUUGAAAAAUGUAUAAAUUUUUAAAAUUUAGUUUGUAUUAACAAUGGGUGUGUAAGUCCCACUUAUCAAGACGGCAAAGUGGCUACAUAUUCAAGUCGUGAAUAAAGUUCUAUAUGCAACACGGGAAUAAUCUACUUUAGUAUCUAUAUUGUUGCAUAAUGUGCUAAGUACAUGCUCGACAUUCAAAUAAUUGAAAAUCUCCCGCUUCGCAUCAGGAUUCUGCGCGUUCGUAAAGACGUCAACCUUCAACCCAUAAUAUAUAUAAGUAUACGUAUGCGGGCUGACGAGUGUCGACGCCUCGACUGUCGAGUGUCGAUCACAAUAUUCACAAUAAUCACAUCUAUGAUAAGUACUUACAAUAACGUUUCAACGUUAUUAAAUUCAAGAAAUGUUAGCGUUAAAAUAAAAAGAUUAUUAAAUACAUGACUUAGAAUCAAUAACAUACUUUAAAAAGGGAAAAAAUUUCAUUACUGGGACGUUCAAGGUGAAACGCUGCAUUGGUAUUGAG
Nasonia vitripennis (jewel wasp) is the source of this 7273-nucleotide RNA transcript. It is a transcript of the gene named protein FAM50 homolog, with no coding region annotated. The record is from RefSeq and is a predicted model, not a curated record. NCBI's taxonomy places the organism in Eukaryota, Metazoa, Arthropoda, Insecta, Hymenoptera, Pteromalidae. The transcript is spliced from 2 exons.